CUAGCUACAGGCUUAACACACGCAAGUCGAGGGGCAUCAAGAAGAAAAGCUUCGCUUUUCUUGCCGGCGACCGGCGCACGGGCGAGUAACACGUAUCCAACCUGCCCUUUACUCGGGGAUAGCCUUUCGAAAGAAAGAUUAAUACCCCGAUAGCAUAAUGAUUCCGCAUGGUUUCAUUAUUAAAGGAUUCCGGUAAAGGAUGGGGAUGCGUUUCCAUUAGGUUGUUGGUGGGGUAACGGCCCACCAAGCCUUCGAUGGAUAGGGGUUCUGAGAGGAAGGUCCCCCACAUUGGAACUGAGACACGGUCCAAACUCCUACGGGAGGCAGCAGUGAGGAAUAUUGGUCAAUGGGCGCUAGCCUGAACCAGCCAAGUAGCGUGGAGGAUGAAGGCUCUAUGGGUCGUAAACUUCUUUUAUAUAAGAAUAAAGUGCAGUAUGUAUACUGUUUUGUAUGUAUUAUAUGAAUAAGGAUCGGCUAACUCCGUGCCAGCAGCCGCGGUAAUACGGAGGAUCCGAGCGUUAUCCGGAUUUAUUGGGUUUAAAGGGAGCGUAGGUGGACUGGUAAGUCAGUUGUGAAAGUUUGCGGCUCAACCGUAAAAUUGCAGUUGAUACUGUCAGUCUUGAGUACAGUAGAGGUGGGCGGAAUUCGUGGUGUAGCGGUGAAAUGCUUAGAUAUCACGAAGAACUCCGAUUGCGAAGGCAGCUCACUGGACUGCAACUGACACUGAUGCUCGAAAGUGUGGGUAUCAAACAGGAUUAGAUACCCUGGUAGUCCACACAGUAAACGAUGAAUACUCGCUGUUUGCGAUAUACAGUAAGCGGCCAAGCGAAAGCAUUAAGUAUUCCACCUGGGGAGUACGCCGGCAACGGUGAAACUCAAAGGAAUUGACGGGGGCCCGCACAAGCGGAGGAACAUGUGGUUUAAUUCGAUGAUACGCGAGGAACCUUACCCGGGCUUAAAUUGCAGUGGAAUGAUGUGGAAACAUGUCAGUGAGCAAUCACCGCUGUGAAGGUGCUGCAUGGUUGUCGUCAGCUCGUGCCGUGAGGUGUCGGCUUAAGUGCCAUAACGAGCGCAACCCUUAUCUUCAGUUACUAACAGGUCAUGCUGAGGACUCUGGAGAGACUGCCGUCGUAAGAUGUGAGGAAGGUGGGGAUGACGUCAAAUCAGCACGGCCCUUACGUCCGGGGCUACACACGUGUUACAAUGGGGGGUACAGAAGGCAGCUAGCGGGUGACCGUAUGCUAAUCCCAAAAGCCUCUCUCAGUUCGGAUCGAAGUCUGCAACCCGACUUCGUGAAGCUGGAUUCGCUAGUAAUCGCGCAUCAGCCACGGCGCGGUGAAUACGUUCCCGGGCCU
RNAcentral lists this ribosomal RNA (1355 nucleotides) under uncultured bacterium. Its description in RNAcentral is "bacterial SSU rRNA". It matches the Rfam family "Bacterial small subunit ribosomal RNA", at positions 36 to 1381 of the family's 1533-position model. The record is from RNAcentral.